GAAUAACUACGACACUCCGUGAGCCUGCAGCUCAUCUUCAGCUGGAGUGACUGGCCAAUGACCUCCAGGGAUCUGCUUGUUUCCACCUGCUAGACCUAGAAAUGCCUACUUCUGCCUCCAGCUUCCACAGGAGUGCUCGGGAUCCAAACUCAGGUCUUUCCUGGUACUCCACCAAGCUCUACAACUAGGAUCCUGUGUACAGAGGACAGGCCUGGCCAGGAGUGAAUGUUACCAAAGGAAGUUUAGAAUACCAAGCACACAACCCAACUUGAGGAUACAGAAAAUACCCUUGACCACAGCCAAGUGAGGUCAGGGUCCCCUGAGCACUCUUUCUUCAAUAUGCCGUAUUAAAAACUCUCUGAGGACAGAAACACACUUUCAAGUGAUGGUUAGGCGCUAGCCACCCCUUUCCUUUCUUCGUUUCUGACUCUUGUGGAUGCCUCAUAAAACAAAGGAGAAAAGGACCAACAUGUGUGGAAUCUACGCCAACUACUUAGAAAAGAUUCCCUUUGUCUUGGAGGACAAACAGUAUAGAGUCAGGUGCCUGGUGGUUGUCGGGUAAGUCUGGCCAGAGGUCCGUGGUUCACUCUGCAUCGUUGCAGUUUCCUCAGUGUGUAUAUAACUCCUAUGCACGGUAAUUAAAGGAACUGACUUUCCCAUGCCAAACUGAAGUGCCAUAGGACAUGAGUCUGAAACACGCUGUUCCCCUUGCUCUUUUUUCUGUCACAAACUUGAGGCAAAAUUUUAAAGCAUUCUGUCUGGCUUAUUGGAAUGCUUGUCUUAAACCCAUAAAGUUAUUUGAUUAAGAUUUCUUUC
This is a long non-coding RNA of Peromyscus leucopus (white-footed mouse), 816 nucleotides long. RefSeq lists it as uncharacterized. The record is from RefSeq and is a predicted model, not a curated record. NCBI's taxonomy places the organism in Eukaryota, Metazoa, Chordata, Mammalia, Rodentia, Cricetidae. The transcript has 3 exons.